RNAcentral lists this small RNA (467 nucleotides) under Pan troglodytes (chimpanzee). Its description in RNAcentral is "processed transcript". The record is from RNAcentral. Lineage: Eukaryota; Metazoa; Chordata; Mammalia; Primates; Hominidae.
GUUUCAGUACAAGCUGAAGCAGAACUCCAUGAUGCUGUGCCUGAGCUGAAAUGCAAGCAGCAUUCCCUGUGUGCCCCUCGUCCUGAGGGACCGUAGCCCAGCUUUGGUCUUCAUUUGCCUGAAUGAGGCUCCAGGAAGAUGGGAGUGGAGGAACAUUUGGCCUGGAAUAAGCCUGGGUGCCGGCUCAUUCCUACCCAGUGACAUUGAAGACGCGGACCACAGCCGCUUUGUCAACUGUGUGCGAUUCUCUCCUGAUGGGAACAGAUUUGCCACAGCCAGUGCUGAUGGCCAGAUAUACAUCUAUGACGGGAAGACUGGGGAGAAGGUGUGCGCGCUGGGCGGAAGCAAGGCCCACGACGGUGGGAUUUACGCAUUGGAGUCCCGACAGCACCCAUUUGCUUUCUGCUUCUGGGGACAAAACUUCCAAGAUUUGGGACGUCAGUGUGAACUCCGUGGUCAGCACAUUU